RNAcentral lists this ribosomal RNA (253 nucleotides) under uncultured bacterium. RNAcentral's name for it is "partial 16S ribosomal RNA". It matches the Rfam family "Bacterial small subunit ribosomal RNA", at positions 524 to 776 of the family's 1533-position model. The record is from RNAcentral.
UACAGAGGGGGCAAGCGUUGUUCGGAAUUACUGGGCGUAAAGGGCGCGUAGGCGGCCUUCUAAGUCGAACGUGAAAUCCCUGGGCUCAACCCAGGAACUGCGUCCGAGACUGGGAGGCUAGAAUCCGGGAGACGGAUGUGGAAUUCCAGGUGUAGCGGUGAAAUGCGUAGAUAUCUGGAGGAACACCGGUGGCGAAGGCGGGUCUCUGGGCCGAUACUGACGCUGAGGAGCGAAAGCGUGGGGAGCGAACAGG